AGGUGAAAGGGUAAGUGGCAGCAGCGUCCUAGGGCAGCUCCGGGCAGCGAUCAAAGUUCAGCUGGGCACUGGGCGGCCCGACGGCUGUGCCUUGGGUCUGCGAUGAAGCCACCCGCUCCUCCCCCCUCGGAGCCCUGGGAUGAUGAGAAAACAAUGUGAACGUCAGGCCAGCGCUGGGCCCUUGCAGGCGGAGGACAAGCCCGACCUAUCUGGCAGGAUCGGCAAGGCAGGGCGUGUGCCCGUGAACCCGGGGCAGGAAGGCUCUCCCCCUCCGAACCAGAACCUCACUCUGCAAAAAUGUUUGAUGGGGAGACUUCAAGGCGGAGGUCUGGGGCUGCGUUAGAAAUAAUAAGGCCACAGGGACGCAUCAAGGAAUGACCUGAGGCAGUUUAGAUACCAUCUCUAUUAUGGACCGGUCUCUUUAAUAAUGGACUUGGGAAGGGCAGGAAGAGACCAGUGCCUGAGGACGUCAGUGGAACAAUGCCACUCAGAGCAACAUCGUUUUCAACACUUCAACUCGCUUUUGGAGCAGGAAACAAUUCUUUAAGAUACUUACGGAAGCUUCCAGUCAGGAACACGAGGAUCUGAUUCAAAUAUCGCCAGCUUUCCUUCCCACUGCUGGAGGCACCAAAGGUGGUGACGUCACAGAGUCAGACAAGAGGAGAGGAUGAGAAGCCAGAACGAAGCUCCAAGACGGCAAAAUGCAGAGACAACUGCAGUGGGUUUCUAUCAAGGGAACGGAGCUCGCCCCCGAACAAUCCGCUUGCACAAACAGGAUGGGAGGCAGGAGAGGACUGACUUGGGAGAACAUUACCAGAGGCUGCUUAGUUACCCAGGAAGGGGUACUCAAGUCACUUUGCUAACUUCAGCUUCAUCAACAGAUGAGAUGCAAAGACGGGGCUGGUCACCUCUGCAAUUCCGUAUUCACUCUCCUACCCACUCCCCCAUCCAAGGAAAAUAGUGAUCUGAAACCCCACAUUCCAAGUCCUAAACUCGGGGAGUUCCACCGCGGCUUUAACGAACCCAACUAGAAUCCAUGAGGAUGCGGGUUCAAUCCCUGGCCCUGCUCAGUGGGUUAAGGAUCCAGCGUUGCCAUGAGCUGUGCUAUAGGUCGCAGAUGCAGCUCGGAUCUGAUGCGGCUGUGGCAUACACCAGCAGCUGUCGCCCUGAUUCAACCCCGAGCCUGGGAACGUCCAUGUGCCACAGGUGCGGCCCUAAAAAGCAAAAAAAAUAAAUUAAUUAAAAUAAAAAUU
Molecule: long non-coding RNA, 1253 nt
Filed under: Sus scrofa (pig)
Lineage: Eukaryota; Metazoa; Chordata; Mammalia; Artiodactyla; Suidae
Description: lncRNA (ENSSSCG00065056577.1)
Source: RNAcentral